UACGAAGGGGGCUAGCGUUGUUCGGAAUUACUGGGCGUAAAGCGCACGUAGGCGGAUUUGUUAGUCAGGGGUGAAAUCCCGAGGCUCAACCUCGGAACUGCCUUUGAUACUGCAAAUCUCGAGUCCGGAAGAGGUGAGUGGAAUUCCUAGUGUAGAGGUGAAAUUCGUAGAUAUUAGGAAGAACACCAGUGGCGAAGGCGGCUCACUGGUCCGGUACUGACGCUGAGGUGCGAAAGCGUGGGGAGCAAACAGG
RNAcentral lists this ribosomal RNA (253 nucleotides) under uncultured bacterium. RNAcentral's name for it is "partial 16S ribosomal RNA". It matches the Rfam family "Bacterial small subunit ribosomal RNA", at positions 524 to 776 of the family's 1533-position model. The record is from RNAcentral.